RNAcentral lists this transfer RNA (69 nucleotides) under Tolypeutes tricinctus. RNAcentral describes it as "tRNA-Ala". It matches the Rfam family "tRNA". Rfam says of the family: Transfer RNA (tRNA) molecules are approximately 80 nucleotides in length. Their secondary structure includes four short double-helical elements and three loops (D, anti-codon, and T loops). The record is from RNAcentral. Lineage: Eukaryota; Metazoa; Chordata; Mammalia; Cingulata; Chlamyphoridae.
GAGGAUUUAGUUUAAUUAAAGCGUCUGGUUUGCGUCCAGGAGAUGUGGGGUGUAGUCCUGCAAUCUUUG